This 13222-nucleotide unclassified non-coding RNA is filed under the name Gigantopelta aegis. RNAcentral's name for it is "laminin subunit gamma-1-like, transcript variant X1". The record is from RNAcentral. Lineage: Eukaryota; Metazoa; Mollusca; Gastropoda; Neomphalida; Peltospiridae.
GACAGUGGUAUGGCGGUUGUUCGACUGCGGUUGCUGCAGUGUGUAGCCGAAAGUUUUAGGACUUGUCGUUCGCAUGGGAAAUCAAAAGGAACCAUGAUGUUUUUGGCUUCCAUCGUCUUUUUAGGACUUUUCAUUGAGGGCGGGUCCGCCCAGGACGCGACGCCUCGGGGCAAAAACAGUUGUUACGACGAUGCGGGUCGGGCUCGGAGGUGUAUGCCCGAGUUUGUGAACGCCGCUUUCGGCCUGCCGGUGGAGGCAACGAACACUUGUGGCCUCACCGAGGGUACGGAAUACUGCCUACAGACCGGCCACAGCGGCGUGGUGGGCGUCACCAAGUCGUGCUACGUCUGCGACCACCGCGACCCGGCGCGCAGACACCCCCCAGAAUUCAUGACCGACUUCAACAACAAUUAUAACUGGACUUGGUGGCAGUCGGAGACAAUGCUGGAAGGGAUCUUCUUCCCAAACCAAGUCAACCUAACGCUGCAUCUGUCAAAAGCCUUUGAUAUUACCUACGUAAGGAUACGUUUCCAUUCUCCAAGACCAGAAAGUUUUGCAAUUUACAAGCAGAAAAGCUCUGAUGAUGAGUGGAUACCGUUCCAGUUCUAUAGUGCUUCAUGUGAACGGACCUAUGGUUUCAAAUCACGGGAGAUCAUUACACGUGAAAACGAAGCAAAGGCUAUGUGUACCGACGAGUUCAGUGAUAUUUCACCUCUUACCGGAGGAAGUGUGGCGUUCAGCACGCUCGAAGGAAGACCAAGUGCUUUUGAGUUUGAAGAAAGUGAGGUUUUACAGGAAUGGGUGACAGCGUCUGCUAUCAGAAUAGUACUUACACGUAUGAAUACAUUUGGAGAUGAAGUAUUUGGCGAUCCACAAGUGUUGAAGUCUUACUUUUUUGCCAUAUCAGAUUUAGCAGUAGGUGCCAGGUGUAAAUGUAAUGGCCACAGUAACAAGUGUGACCUGGUCACUGGCCAGGGUCUGGAAGACAACCUGGUGUGCAAGUGUGAACACAACACUCACGGCGUCAACUGUGAGGAGUGCCUGCCGUUCUACAACGACCGGCCCUGGAGGAGGGCCACGGAGAGGGACGCUCAGGAAUGCUUACCAUGUGACUGUAGUGGACUGUCCAACAGGUGUUACUUUGACCCCGACCUCUAUCAGCGGACGGGACAUGGCGGACAUUGUAUCAAUUGCCGUGACAACACGGACGGUGCCCACUGCGAGUUGUGUCUCCCCAACCACUACAGACGGAUGCCAGAAAACAGAUGUGUUGACUGCCGGUGCAAUCCAACAGGUUCGGAAAGUCAACAGUGCGGUCAAGAUGGCCGCUGUCGAUGUAAGCCUGGAGUGACCGGAGACAAGUGUGACCGCUGUGCUGCUGAUUUUUACGACUUUGGUAACUACGGGUGCAGACCAUGUUCGUGCUCAGCGGCCGGCAGUUUUAACAACGAGCCUCGUUGUGACUCUAGGACGGGAGUCUGCAAAUGUAAAGAGAAUGUGGAGGGCCAGAACUGUGACACGUGUAAGCCUGGUUUCUUUGGACUGAAUGGAGCCAACCCUUUUGGAUGUGUGUCAUGCUUCUGUUACUCACAUUCCUCCAUCUGCCAGAGUGCACCAGGCUACUAUGCUAGGAGUAUAGCAACAGACUUUGAGACAGGAAAACAGAGAUGGACAGCUGUGGAUCGCCGUGGUGAUGUGAUUGAGACCCAGUACAACGCUCUCACUCAGAACCUGGGAGUAUCAGCAGAAAGUUCAGAGCCAAUAUACUUCCUGGCCCCAGGUCGUUAUCUAGGUGACCAAAGAUUCAGCUACAACCAGUUUUUAAGAUUCAACCUACGUAUUGGCGAGCAGAAUGCCAGGGCGUCCAUCAUAGAUGUGUUGGUUGAGGGAGCUGGACAACAGAUCUCACUGCCUAUAUUUGGAGGAGGAAACCCGAUGCCAGCCGUCGUGGGAAAUGAUUUUAAAUUCCGUCUCCACGAACAUCCAGAUUAUCAGUGGACACCAAGGUUGAAAGCGGAAGAUCUAAUUGGCAUCUUAGCUAAUGUCACAGCCAUUAAGAUCAGAGCAACGUACAAUCCAGAAGGUGUUGGAUUUAUCGAUGACAUUAAACUCGAAACUGCGCGACGUGGUUUCAAUGCUGGCGAUGAGGCAUCAUGGGUAGAACAGUGCACGUGCCCAGAGGGAUACGUGGGCCAGUUUUGCGAGUCAUGUGCGCCAGGAUUCAAGAGAGAUCCACCUAAUGGAGGACCCUUUGCCCAGUGUGUGCCCUGUGUGUGCAACGGCCAUUCAGACGUCUGUGAUGGAAACACUGGUAGAUGUAUCUGUCAACACAACACUGCUGGUGACUAUUGUGACCGAUGUGUGUCUGGUUACUACGGCAAUGCUCGGCAGGGAACUCCACAGGACUGCCAGCCAUGCCCAUGUCCAGGGGGCGGAGCCUGCAUCCAGCUAUACAAUAGGGAUGUUGUCUGCACUGAAUGUGCAGAGGGAUAUGGAGGCAACAGAUGUGAACUUUGCUUGGAUGGUUAUUUUGGGGAUCCUUCAAAUCGCAAACCCUGCCAGAAGUGUUUCUGCAAUGACAACAUUGAUCCGAAUGCUGUUGGAAACUGUAAUUCAACCACUGGAGAAUGUUUGAAGUGCAUCUAUAACACAGCUGGCUUCUACUGUGAAAAAUGUCUGCCUAGUUACUAUGGUGAUGCUAUUUCUUUACCCAAAGGACAGUGUCAGGCUUGCAACUGCUACCCACUGGGUACGAUCCAGGCUGGUGUUUUGACCUGUGACCCGACUGGACAGUGUCCAUGCCUGCCCAACGUGCGUGGCCAGCAGUGUAACCAGUGUAUGAGUGGAUACUGGAACCUCAACAGUGGACAAGGUUGUGACAGUUGUGAUUGUGAUCGUGUGGGUUCCCUUAACUACACCUGUGAGUUGGAGACCGGUUUGUGCACCUGCAAACAAGGUGUGACUGGGCGGCGCUGUGACACCUGUCAGAAGUAUUACUUCGGAUUCUCGCCUACUGGUUGUCAAGCAUGUAACUGUGAGCCUGAAGGAUCCCUCGACCUGCAGUGUGACGAGUACGGCAACUGUCCGUGUCGGACAAAUGUUGACGGGCGACGGUGUGACCGGUGUAUGGAAAACAAGUUCAACAUCACAGCUGGCUGCAUUGACUGUCCGAGGUGUUACGAUCUAGUCCAGGAACAGGUGAACAUCCACCGCACCAAGCUGCGAGAGUUGACCAACCUCAUCAACAACAUCGGCAACAACCCCAGCCUGUUCAAUGACACCGAGUUCAUCAGCUACAUGAAGGCCGUCAACACCUCUGUUAAUGUCUUGCUAAAAGACGCCAGAGGAGCAUCCAGUGGUGACGGGUCGAUAGGCAAACAGCUGCAGGACCUGCGAGCCGACCUCAACGAGGUCAUAGUGAAGACCGGUCAGAUAACUCGCAGCAUCGCGUCUGCCACCGAUGCCUCCAUGCGGACGAUGGGCGACAUCAGUGUGUCGGAAGAGGCCAUCGCUCGGGCGCAGAUAUCGCUCGAAGCCGCUGAGGACUACAUCGACAGGGAGGGAAGGCUGGCCCUGCAGAGGGCGCUGGAAGCUCUCGGCAGAUUCGGGAGACAGUCCGAGCAGAUGACGCGCAUUGCUACCAGGGCGAAACUUGAAUCAGAAAGGCAAAUGGAUGAUGCCGAAAGGAUCAGCACAAUUGCUAAGAAUGCUCUGAACACAUCGAGAGAAGCACUUCGUCUUGCUCAGGAAGUCUUCAGCAUGCCAGACCAAACUGCUUACGAAAUACAGAAAUUGAGACAAGAUUACAGUGAUGCUGACCGUCUGUUCACGCAGACUAAGAUUCUAGCGCAGGAGGCCCAGGACCUGUCUAAGGAGGCCCACAGCCAGGCCCUCGACCUGUACACCGAGGCUCUGGAGGACAUACCAUCCGUCAAUGUGCCACAACUCAUUGCUGAUGCAGCACAGAUAAAAAAUGAGGCUAUGCAGAUCAAAGCAGAGACAGACCGGCUUGUAAAUCAAAAUCAGGAACUUCUCAGUGAUGUUGAAAAACAGAAAAUAUUGGCUGGGGAUAAGCUGGAGGGAGGAAUCCGAUUGCAGCAGACAACAGAUGAACUGCUGGCGGAGGUGGACGCUGCCCGGGCAACAGCGAGGGAUGCUGUAGAUAUGGGAGAGACGACUCUGAAGGAAGCCAAUGAAACUCUGAAAACUCUUAUAGAGUUUGACAAGCUGGUGCAGGAGAGUCGCGGCAAGGCUGACGAGGCCCUGAAGAAGGUUGGAAAGAUCGAAGACACGAUCCGUCGUGCUGAGCAGACCACCGGGGAGGCCAGGGGGGCCCUCAGUGGUGCCAGCUCUGAUGCCAGAGAGGCAUUUAGGCUUGCCAAACAGGCUCAAGAAACUGCUCAACAGGCUUCAGAUGAAGCCAGUAAUAUUCGCGGAGAGGCUGAACGUAUGAAGGAAAAGGCCACCGGUCUGAAGGAUGAGGCUGACAGGUUGUCCACUGAUGUCGACGAUGCCAAAAAAAGAAUGGACGAUUUUGAUUCUCAGGGCAUGGAUGAUGACCGACUUGCUAAAGAGGCUUUAGAUAAAGCAAAUGAAGCUAAGUUUGUUGCCGACGAUGCCUCAAAGAAAGUUGAAGAUGCUCUUGACACAGUCAAGAAUAUUCUUAGGUUGCUAGGAACCGUGGAGAUGGCGAACCCCGCCCAGCUGGAUCAACUGGAGAGGGACCUGGACCAGGUGGAGCGGGCUUUAGCCGACGCCGAGAUCGAGAAGCAGUUUAACAAGAUCACCAGAGCGAACGAUCUGGUGAAGAAACUCGCCACUCAGUACACGGAGGACUAUUCCCAACUGCAGGCGGACGUUGACAAUAUAGAAGACAUUAAAAACUCCUUACCAGAUAACUGCUUUAAGAAUAUAGAAAUUGAACCCUGAGGAGCGGACCACCUUGUUGUGUUCAGUUUUUGUAAAAUCAGUGAAAACACACACAAAAACAACGUAUUACAGCCUAUGCUGGGACAAGCAGAAAAAGGAGUGGCGUCCGUGCUAAAAGUGUUAUUUGUUCUGAUGUUUCAUAAUGCACCAAAAAAAAUGUGGAGAUUUGACUGCUGCAGCGUGUUGUGUAAUAAACAGGCUGGGGGAACCCUGCGGUCUGACCGUGACCCUGCACUGUGUAACCUUCACCCUGCUAGAAACGCCAUCUUACCUCAUUGCUCAUUUGUUAUUCAGAGAUUUUGUUUUAGUUCUUUUAAUGGUCAAAAGUCAUUUUGGUAUUUUCUAAAAAUAAUUUUUACACAAGAUUUUUAUACAAUAAUGUGGCAAAACUUAAUUUACACAGGCCACAGGCAGAUUCAGUCCUAAUUUAUGUCAUUAAAAUAAAAUCUUAUUUUUCAUGUUUUAAUCCAUUUAUGAAGGGAAUUUUGAGUUGAGAUAUUAUACAUCUCAAUACCUGGUAUAUAUAUUUUAAUUAUGUGGUCGAAAUGGGGACAGGAGAAUAAAUGUUACUAAAACACUCUUAUUAAUCAUCUUAUAUAUGACAUUUUAAAACCUCUAGCCUACUUAAAAACAAAAUGGGUAAAAUAACUGCAAGUUAGAUCUUAAAGUGAGAUAUAUAAUAGUAAUACAAAGCAAAAUGUAAAAUAAGCAGUAAGCAAAUCAAAUUUAUCACUGAUAUAUCUUUUAUAUAUUAAGUAAUAUUGAGAUAUUUUAAAAAAUAGGGUUUUUUUUAAUUAUUGUGUCUGAUGUCAAAUCAAGUAAUAAUGUUGGAUCUAUGCUGGUCAAUUGAUGCUGUUAUUUUUACCCUGUUGAUAUUUAAUCAACUUGCUAAACUUACAAAAUGCAUAAUAUGUCGGGAUGAUUAAAAAAAAAUCCAAGUGUUUAAAGUGAUAUUAAUAAAAUGUGUUUACACUAAGUUCUAUAUUACACAGUAUUAAUACUUGCUUACAACACAGAAAAGUAAUUUUUUUGUAAACUUUUUUUUUGGAAAAAGGUAGCAUUUUUAGAUCAUAUUUAAGAAAAAAGAUAGAAAAACUAUAAAACUCCCAUUUUAAAAUAGUUUUUAUGAUUUCCUGUCAUUUAAGAAUGCUUAGGAUGUAUAUAAUUAAUGAAAUCAUUGUGUACUUUUGCCAUUUCAUGUAAAUAAUGAAAAAUUACUGGCUAGCAACACUUUUCUUCUUUCUUGUUUUUUGCUAACAAAAACAUACCAAAGUAGCUGAUAUUAUUAUAGUAACCAUACUAAUUUAACUGGGUUUUUUUUUUUUUUUUUCAGGAUGAAGUAUUUUCGUACUUGAAUGUACCAGCAUAUUAUAAUUUUUAUUAUUUCUCAAUAUCAGAUGUAUGCUUUUACCUAUUUGCCUUAUAUUACCUCAGAAAAUGUACAAUCAAAGUGCCAAAUUAAAAAACAACAAAAAAUGUUGAUCCAAAGUACCAGGUUUUUUUUUUUUUUAAGAAGGCAGACUUGCAUAGGCGUCGGAAAUGGGGGGGCACUGGACCUCCCAACUCUGAAACUGGGGGGCCAUAAUAUGCACAAUAUGAACUUGCAUUUAAUAAGUGCCCCCUGCCAUUUGCUGCCAUUUUCUGAUGCCUAUGACUUAAUAUUGUGCAGCAUGAUAAGGCCACUAGUUUAAAGUUAUUUUUGUGCUUAAUGCUUAAUGCUUAAGCGCAUUGUCCUGGACACAAAUCUCAGCUUUGUGGGAUGUCUGACUACAACAGAUGUGUAGAUAUUAGUUAGUGAGAAACAAAAUUGGUUAAUGAUCUUAUACCUACCUCCAUAGUGAACUUCAAUUGUUUAUUUGCCCAAAACGUCUGCUUAUAGGCCAAAAUAACAAAAAUGUAUGUGUGAUUUUAACAUAGGCCAUAAAUAGGUCAGAUGCAUGUGUAGGAAAUUAUGCAGGGAGCAUCUACACUGAGGAAUGAAUGUUCUAGAGGGUUUCAAGUUAUGCUUCCCCAGAAAAUAUGUUUGACUGCUGAAACCUCCCCAGCACAGGCUGCAUGGGUUACAAGAUGCUGCUAUUUUGAUGCCUGUAAAAUUCAGUAUGGCUGCAAUCCAAUAUUGGGGUGCGAACUCAGUACCUUCCAGCUUUAAGGUCGAAAGCUUAAUUAUUAAGCCAUCAAGGCUGGUGACCUCUUAUUGGUUUCAGAUUUAUAUUCUACACAUGUGCCCAUGACAGGCGUGUGCUACAACAGCUUGUUCUGAAUGCGCACGUUAAAACCUAUGACCUGACCUGACCUGGAUCGAAAGUCAAUACUAUGGGAUGGACUGCCAGUAACACUGUUAACAUAUUCAUUCUAUGGAUGAGGGUUUUGACUGUAGUCAAUAUUUGGUAUUACUAUUUAUGUGUUGCCUUUAUUCUUUCCAUCAGUAUAUAGCCUACAUCAAACGUUUUAAAAAGAAGUCAUAUUAGUUGAGGCCAGUGGCCAUAAUGUUCAUUAAAGUAAUAUGCUAUUAAUUAAUGACACUCUUCUUUUUUUUUAACUCGCAUGCUUGCAAAACGCUCAAGUGCAUGCCAAGUUUCUGGUUUGGGAAUUAUUUCGACAGCAGUAUCAUUGUUCCAAUACCUGGUUGUAAGUAGCAAUAGCACACAAUAAUUCGACAUAUUACCGAUUCUUCUAUUAUAAUAUACCGGUAAGAAGAAGAACCCCACUGGUUAUAACUGAUGUAGCAGUAAUAGUGAGCUAUACCCUCAUAAAACCUGUACCUCCAUAAUAGAACCAAUGGUUGUAGAUGUAGUUUUUAUAAAAGCUAUACCUCAUUGAGAAUGUAUAACUCUGUUGAUUGCUGCUUGUUGGGUCUGAGGAAAAUUUCACCUUUGUAACCAAGACUGACUUCGUUUUUAACUACUUCAUUCCCACGUCUGAAAAAAUGGCAUUUUUGAAGAUCAUAAUCGAUUGUAACUAAUGUUGAUGCUUGUCUGCCAAACAGUGAGUCUGCACUUGAAUUGCAUUGUCUUCACUAUAGAGACAUUUGUAUAGAAAGUUAUGUCCUGGGCCCAUGCUUAUAAAAACUUUUAGAGUCCAGACUCAAUCUCUAAUGAUGUCACACACAUACAAUUUGUAUGGCGUUGCCAUGAUGUUCACAUCUCAGACUCUUAUUAGAGUCUCAAGUCUAGACUCGUAAAAGUUUUAUAAGCACCAGACCUGAUCUGACAAAAGGGAGGUACAGUGUAGAUCCAUUUUAUUCCAUGGAAUUCUUGUAUUCUUCUGUAGAGUUGUUGAUAAAUUUGUCCUGUCUUCAUAAAAUUAAUCUUGUACUUUGUGCUUUUAUAAAAAAAAUCGUCAUAAAAUUAAAAUUAAUCUUGAAAGCUAAACAAUUUUAGCUUUUUCAUUAACACUGGUAUUAACAGCAGCAGCAGCAGCAGCAGCAGCAGCAGCAGCAGCAGCAGUGGUUUAUGUAGAUUUAUAUUUAUAUAUAUAUGUGUGUGUGGGGGGCCCCCCACUUUGUGGCACCUUCCUACACCACUGAUUAAUAUUGCAGAUGUUAAUUUUGAAGUUAUUUCCCUUCAUCAGAUCGGGUCAGGGUUGUCUACCUAACCUUUUUGCACUAAAGACAAGAAGAUACCUCACAAUGCUGUAUGAUGUAUUGUGAUAGAGAUGAAAUAUGAUUUACGUUUGACUGACAAUUUUCUAAAACCCUUUUUUUCCUUUUGUGUCUUCCUUUGAGUGCAUUUGGCGAUCUUCUUUUCCGAAGACCAGAUUUUAAAAUACUUAGGGCCUAAUUUAUGAAGCCUGUUUAUCUUAAACGCAAGUGUUUAAACUUAGUAAAUGUAUGUAGUUACACGCUGGUAGAUCUAAAAUAGGCUUUGUAAAUUCGGCCGUUAUUGUCUAUUUAUAAAUGUUUAUUAGUUUGUAUUUAUGGCAUUUCGGUCACAAGCAUUAUAUUCUUGUUUCACUCUUUUUAUGGUGCUAUAUAUGUUGUAUGUUUAUUGAUAUUGUAUCAGGUCUAUUACUCCAUGUAUUCUGUAUAUUAAUCAAGUGUUGGCCAGUCGCAUCAUGCCAUAAUAAAACAGUUGAAUAUUUAAAACAAUGCUUUACUGUUUGUUACUCAGUGGUCAACAGGGUUUUCCUGAUGGUGUAAUUAAACUCAGUUGUAGCUAAAAAAUAUUUUUGUUACUUUAUAGAUAAUUUAAUUCCCCCCACAUAAUUUAGAUGGUAUGUGCUAUACAAGUCUCUUGGAUAUAUAAAGUAAUGGCAACGUGUGUUGGCUGCUUUUUGUCAUUUUUAUUAAGACAUUUUGAUUAAUUUUUUUGAAUUAUAAUUUAAUAUUCAGUUGAAAAAUAAAUGUACUAGUGUGGUACUAGAGGUUAAUUAUAAGAUAUUAAUGACAAAUUUAUUUUUUCAAAAUACCUAUCUAUUAGCAGCAUUGAAUUAUAGGGUUGUUUCGAUUUUUUUUGUGUAUAGGUUGGGUGGGGGAUAUGCUAAGAAUUAAUGUUUUUGAAAGUUUUAAAAUUAUUUAAUGUCAAUAUAACUUUUGUAUAAUGUUGAAGAAACAAAUGGAAAACAUUGAACGUUGAUAAUGUUGAUUUGUGAACACUUAGGCCAAGCCCUGUUGUAAGAUGAUGCAUUGGUAACACGUUUGUGUAUAUUAACUGUUUUUAACAAGUAGACUUAUUACUGCUAUUUGCUUUUUCUGUGCCAAUUCGAUUGUAGUUCUUUUUUUUCUUUUCUUUUUAGUAGCAUUGUACAGAUUUUGUGCUAGCUAAUAGUUUUCUUUUUAAAAGUAAUUUAUUGCUCAAACCAGAACUUGGUUUGGUAUAGCAUCAUGGUGUAUAGUAACUAGUAUCUGUAGAGUUCAUGGUAGAUUGUUUUACAGUAUUUUGGAGCAAAUCAUAUAUAUCUGCUCAGGGAUGAAAUAAACGGGGAUGGAUCGUUACAUUUAAAUUUUUUAUUAAAGGUACAUGUUCUAAAUGCUUAAAUUAAAGUCAUAUCAGCAUCAUCCUCAUAGAUUGAACUCCUGAUGUGUAAUGCCCUAUAGUAAUGUAUAGAGAAGAAAUAUACACUAAAAGUUGUAAUAUUGAUGCUAUUACUGGUGCAUCGACAAGUUUGACCAUUGCAUUAAACUGUUAUAGUAAUGUUGAAGCACAUUGUUAUGGGCUUCUACCAUGAUUAAAACACAUCUAAUGUACAAAAACUCCAAGCAAGAAAGGCUGUAUUGUGCAGAAAUAAUAUACAGUGUAGCAGAACAUGUAUCUUUAAUUUUAAAAAAAUAUUAAACACAACAACUGUAUAAAGUAAAACGUACAUAUGUUUAAUGUUGUCUUGUUUUUAAUAAAUGCUAUUUUAGUUCCAACAUAAUUAUUAUUAUUUUUUUUUUUUUAAAGAGAACUGGUACAUGUGUGUAUGUUGUGUUAUGGCAGAUAUAAAUGCCACAUUUGUACUUGUUAGUUUGGAGUAGUAUAUUCUAUACAGUAUAUUAUGUGGCUUUUAUGUGGACCCAUUUUGGGAUUUUCACUUUAACAACUACAUGUAAAUACCCAGUGUAGAUUUAUUUCACAUUUUCCAUUUGAUUAUUUUAUUAAAAUGAUAGAAAAGUAAUUUCAAAUUAAGAUAGUUUCAACAGCUCUUAAAGGUUGCCCUUCCUCCCUCCCCUACUCCCUUUUGUAGUCAUAUCAUGUGUUAAGAUAAAAUUGACUUGUUUAGAAAGGGGUGGUGAGUUGCUUCUCCUCUUACUUUAUCUGGAUCUUCCCUGAUUACUUUGACCUUUUGUAAAUAGUAUUAUCCUCUGAAAUAGUUUAGAUCCCUGAUAUUAAUAAUUAAAAGGAAUGCCUACAAUAUGUUCGACUGUAUUUUUAACACAUUGCUAAUUUCUCCAUCGAUGGUGAAGCACCAUGUUAAAAUUUUUGUGUGAAAAUACAGACCAUUUCAUGCAAAAUUCACUAACGUUUUUCAGGUUUUUUAUAACAGGAGAGGUCGGUAAAUACCAGGGGCCUAAUUCACUAAAGUCUCGCAACUUUGCGAUCUCGCAGUGCAAUGCUAAAAGACUUGCAAAGAGGAUGCUUUGUUAUCUGGCAGAGCCUAAGAAAGCUUUGGGAAUUAGGCCCCAGGGGUAAACAAAUCCCCAUAGAUUACAGAAUAUGAUUGUUUUAUAUUAGCAAUAUCCUAAUCAUUGGCCUACAAUACUAAAAACACUGAUAUAGUACAAUGCAGUGCUGUACAGUACAGUGCAGUUUUCAGUUAACAAGGUGUUAGUUAAAACAAACCCAUGCUCAAGUGUUACACUAUGUUUUACAUCAAUAUCAUUAAAAUGUUACCCUGGGUACAUCAAUUCAUUUCUCUUGAUUGCUUGAAUAUUUGUGUUGCUUAUUUGUCAAUUCUGACAAGCCAUGAAGUUGUAAUCCAAAGCUUCUUCCAAAGUCGAAACGUUAAUACAUCUCCAAUAUUAUUAAAGUGACAUCUAAUAGUUAAUAAGAAUGUGAUAAAUACCUUCUAAAAGUAGGUGGAAAGGAUAUUUUCUAUUUGUCAAGAAGUCUCUUUCAAUUUUAUAUCACUGAAUCUCAAGUACGAUGUUUAACCAUGAGAGGAAUUACGAGAAAUAAAUUGAUAUAUUUUUUCCAUGCUAUAUAAUUACAGUAAUUGCUUUAAAUUUAAUAUUGAUUUUUUGUAUGGUUCACCAAGAUUGUAUUUAAAGCACUGUUUAUGAGAACAAAAGAUGUCCGAUUAAUAAUAAGCAUGUUAAAAUUAUUAUAUGUAAUUAAUCAAUGUUUUGUGCAACACUUGACAUUUUUGUCUUCUUUUUUAAAUAUAACUUAAUGUGCUUGAUAAUCAUUUGCUGCUUUAAGCAAUACAUAUUGACCCUAAAUAUUAGAACAGAUUUUGGGAAAAUAAUUGGCUUUGGUUAAUUUUCAAGAGGUUUUGAUCACAAGGAUGUAUGCCUUGUAUGUGAGUGAAGAAAAUAUGAAGCUGAUACUUCAGAGUGGGUGGGUGUGAUGAGUACUUAUGCACCCCCUCCCACACCACCCCACCCCUAAAGUAGUUCCAUUUACAAACAGAAUCAAUUUUAAAUGUUGACGAUCCACGCUUUUGCCAAAAAUGCACAGAAAUUAAUUACCUCACUCUGCAGGAAAUCCUGUUUAAGUGCCUUGAAAAAUACAAGGUAAAUUUUCAUAAAUUCAUUUUAUUUGACAUCAUUUCUCUUGCCUUUCAUCUUUUUCUGUGAAUUUAUGAACAUUAUUAACAACUUAAUUGGGAUUGUAGAUCCAAAGAAAAUUGUGUAAAAUUAUAUAUAUAUAAUUCACUUCAGAAUGAGUAAAUUUGUGAUGUGUACAGUUUGCUUGGUAUGCUGUUGUGCUCAUAUCUAAUGUUAAUCAUAUCAGAUACAGUGACAGAUCCAAGUUGUUUUCGGGGGGGGGGGGUGGGGGCACAGAAACACUGCAAUUCAAAAUGGCUACCUACAAGACUGUCAUUUGCAGGUAUGUGUGUGUGCAGGAAAUUGUGCAUGAAGAGUCUUAGACUAUGGUGAGCAACAUUUUUAGAUGGGGGUUGGGUCAUGCUGCCUCGGGAUAUACAUUGAAUAAAAAAAAAAAAAUCGUUUAAAGGCUGGCAGGGCUUUCGACCCCCAAACCCCUGUACACACACCUGAUUUGCCGGGAAUAAAUGGUGUGCAGGGAGUGAUUCUAAAGCAGAGUUACACCGAUGAAGAGUAAAUUUAUCUAAUAACUUCUCUCAAUGAUACCUCAAUAAAAAAUACCCCCUCCCCCCCUUCUCCCUCUCGUCUCCUCCUUGGAUCUGUUGCCAAAAGAGCAGCUUAAUAAGUUGGCCGUGUUCCAAUGUCUAGUGAUGUAGGUAGGUUUUAUAUUGUGUUGUAACCAAAGAAUAGUUAGCUUUGUAAAUUUGCAUGUACAUGUAUAUCUAAUAUUGUUAAGAAAAAACCCCAACUACUUCUCCAUCUUGGAAUUUAAAAUGUGGUCGAUUUUUUUUUUUUAAGGUGGCCAGUUUUAAUUAUUUACAAGUAUUAACAGUUGUAGUUAUAUCACAAGGAAAUUAAUUGAAUUUUGUUUCCAAUAUUGCUGUGACUUUUUUUUACAAUACUGGUUUAAUAGAAAGAUAGCAAAAAUAAAUGGUUUAAUAUUUCUUGCACAAUAAAUUCAUAUUUUUCAUUUUUGUAUUUGAACAAGUAAUUAAUUGUUUUUUAAUUAUUUUUAUUAACAAAUGAAUUUGCUAUCAUUAGUAUCAAAACAGUUUGUACUUUUUCACGUUUUUGUAUGAAAAUAUGAAUAAAUGUUUUUACAAAGAA